CAGAUUAGGCAUGGGGAUAUCAUUUGUUACCAGAAAAGUGCAAAGUCUUUGAGCCACCAGGCAUACCCUUCUGUUCCAAUAUUCUUCCAGAAUAUUUUGAAGGCAGUUGUUCUGGGGGGGCAAAGGAAGAUAUGUGCUCUGGAAGAGGAGGUUGUUAGAUUGAAACGUCAGUCUGACCUUCAAAUAGAGAAGGCAAAAAAGGGUAGUUCUAAAUGUAAGCAAUUGAAACAUGAGCGAGACAAUGCGGUGCGACAGCUGAAUGAGCUGCAGGAUCAGAAUCCUCAGAUUAUUCUCGAGUUUCCCAUCACGAAUUUGGUAGAAGCAACGCAGAACUUCAGUGACCUGUGUAAGGUUGGAGACACCGAAUAUGGAAGCGUUUAUAAAGGCAUUAUACAGGACAACGCAGCAGCUAUCAAGCUAUCCAAAUCUGAUACUUUAUUUCAACAAGAGGUUUCUAUUCUUUGUCAAGGCAGACAUCCAAACAUUGUCGACUGCAUUGGAAAAUGUUCUGAAGUUUCAGCCCUUGUGUAUGAGUGGUUACCAAAUGGAAACCUUGAAGAUCACAUUGUUCGUGCUAAUGGAUCUCCAUCUCUCUCAUGGCACACCCGUAUGCAGAUCAUUGGUGAGGUUUGUUCUGCACUGCUUUUCCUGCACUUGCGUGCUUUGGUCCAUGGCGAUCUCCGGCCUUGUAACAUCUUUGUCGACGCCAACUUCAGAAGCAAGAUCUGCAACUUUGGUAUGUUAACCCUGUUUCUCCAGCCCGGCAACCACCAGUUAGACCUGACAGCAAGGCUGCCAUACCUGGACCCGGAGUUCCUCACCACCGGAGACCUCAUGCCGCUUUCCGACGUCUACUCUCUGGGUGUUAUAAUUCUGCGUCUUCUGACUGGAAUGCCUCCCUUGAGUAUUGCAAAGAAAGUUUCAGAAGCAUUGGAGAAUAAUAGCUUGCACACGCUGAUUGAUAAAUCAGCAGGGAACUGGCCAUAUGUACAAGCCAAGCAGUUAGCCGUCGUUGGUCUUAGCUGUGUGGAAAUGACGAGGGAAAAGCGACCUGAUCUCUUAACAGAAGUAUGGUCAGUUAUUGAGCCCCUUAUCAGGAAGCCUCCUGCAGCCUCAUGGCCAUGUGUCCAAUCAGCAGUUAGAGGAAGCUGCGCGCCUGAUCACUUGAUUUGUCCAAUUCUUAUGGAUAUUAUGAAGGAUCCUCAAGUGGCAUCUGAUGGAUUCACCUACGAAGCAGAAGCCAUAAGGCGCUGGUUUGAUGGCGGGAACAACAGGUCUCCGAUGACGAACUUGCCGCUAGCAAAUCAUGAUCUUGUCCCAAAUCUUGCCCUCCUCUCUUCUAUCCAGGAGUACCUUGAGCAGCAGAGGCAGCCAGCUUCCUGA
This 1383-nucleotide ribosomal RNA is filed under the name Triticum aestivum (bread wheat). Its description in RNAcentral is "partial small subunit ribosomal RNA". The record is from RNAcentral. Lineage: Eukaryota; Viridiplantae; Streptophyta; Magnoliopsida; Poales; Poaceae.